ACCCCAACCUCUCUCACCACGAAAGGAACACAAGUGAACAACACAAGCAACGCUGACACCAAACUCUACAUACAUUAAACAUAAUAGAAACACCGCCACCCGACCCCACCCCCAUCCAUCUUCCCUCUCUCCACCCCCUUUCUUUUUUCCUUUUUUUUUUCUUCUCCCCCCUAAUGCCUCAACAAAUGAAAUGGAUUUGUAAAAAUGUUACAUGAAAAAAAUAUAUAUACGAGGCAGUACACUUACUUCUGUAAAACAAGAAAAUCCUUAAUAAAAUAUUUAAUAAA
Podarcis lilfordi (Lilford's wall lizard) is the source of this 287-nucleotide non-coding RNA. The record is from the annotation of a GenBank genome assembly. NCBI's taxonomy places the organism in Eukaryota, Metazoa, Chordata, Lepidosauria, Squamata, Lacertidae.